This 253-nucleotide ribosomal RNA is filed under the name uncultured bacterium. RNAcentral describes it as "partial 16S ribosomal RNA". It matches the Rfam family "Bacterial small subunit ribosomal RNA", at positions 524 to 776 of the family's 1533-position model. The record is from RNAcentral.
UACGUAGGGGGCAAGCGUUGUCCGGAUUUAUUGGGCGUAAAGAGCGUGUAGGCGGCCAUACAGGUCAGCUGUGAAAACUCGAGGCUCAACCUCGAGACGUCGGUUGAAACCGUAUGGCUAGAGUCCGGAAGAGGAGAGUGGAAUUCCUGGUGUAGCGGUGAAAUGCGCAGAUAUCAGGAAGAACACCUAUGGCGAAGGCAGCUCUCUGGGACGGUACUGACGCUGAGACGCGAAAGCGUGGGGAGCGAACAGG